Molecule: long non-coding RNA, 9581 nt
Filed under: Durio zibethinus
Lineage: Eukaryota; Viridiplantae; Streptophyta; Magnoliopsida; Malvales; Malvaceae
Description: long non-coding RNA (DZIB_LNC001155)
Source: RNAcentral
ACAAAAAGAUUUAAGAAAAAAAUAAAAAAUGAAAAUGCAAAAUAUAUAAAAUAAAAUUUGAGAAAAAGAAGAAAAAAAUAAAAAAUGAAGAGGCAAAAAUAUGAAAAAAAAAUAAAAAGAAAAAAAUUUAUAGAAAAUUUUAAAACAAAGAAAAAGUGAACAAAAAAAAAUGAAAGCACAUAAAAAAAAGUAAAAAAAAGAAGAAAAAUUGAAAGGAGAAAAAGUUAAUGAAAAAUUAUAAAAAUGCAAUAGAAAAUAACCAAGAAUGAUAAAAGAAAAAAAGAUAGAAAAAUAAAAAAUUCUAAAACUUUAUAAAAAUUUAUGAAAUUAUAAAUAAAGAAAGAAAAUAAAAUACGAAAAAAAAUUAAAGCAAAAGAAAAAAGAUAAAUAAAGCACAAAAAAAACAAAAAUACAACAAAAAAUAUAAAAAGUAAGAAAAUGAAAAAGGACAAAAAUUGAAUAAAAAUUUCAAAAAUGAAAUGGAAUGACAAAAUGAAAAAAAUUAGUUUAAAAAAUACAAAAAAUUGAAAAACAUAUAAGUUCUAACAAUAUAAAAAGUUUGAGAAUUUAAAAACACAAAUAAGAAAUGAAAGGAAAUUUAUGGAAAAAAAAAAAGAAUUGGAAUAAAAAUAGAAAAAUAAAAUUUUUAAAAACGACGAAAAAUUAAAAUAAGAAAAAAAUUAAAGCAAAAGAAAAAAGAUAAAUAAAGCAUGAAAAAAAAAAAACAAAAAUACAACAAAAAAUUAUAAAAGGUAAGAAAAUGAAAGAGGACAAAAAAUGAAUAAAAUUUCAAAAAUGAAAUGGAAUGACAAAAUGAAAAUAAAAUUAGUUUAAAAAAUAAAAAAAAAUUGAAAAACAUAUAAGACCUAACAAUAUAAAAAGUCAGACAAAAAUUAAAAAAGAGAAAAGUUAAUGCAAAAUAAAAAAAAGUAUGAGAAUUUAAAAGCGCAAAUAAGAAAUGAAAGGAAAUUUGAGGAAAAAAAGAGACAAAAGAUUUGGAAUAAAAAAUAGAAAAAUAGAAAUUUUUAAAACAACAUAAAAAAUUAAAACAAGUAAAAAUGAAAGCUUAUGAAAAAAAAAAAGCAAAAAGAAGGCAAAUUAUGAAGGGAAAAAGUUAUUAAAAAUUACAAAGUAGAAAAAAAGAAAAUAAAAAUAAAUUAAGAGAAAAAAUUAAAUAAAAUACCAAAAAGGAAAAAAUAAAAAUAAACAAAGUAAGAAAAUAAAAAAUUAGCGAAUCAAAAAAUAUAAAAAGACAAAAUGAAUAAAAAUUUCAAAUAUAAAAUGAAAAAAACUAUUGGUUCAGAAUGUACAAAGAAAAAUAAAAAAAAUAUAACAAACAGAGGAAAAAGAUAUAAAAUAUGAAAGAUGAAAAAUAAAAUAAAAGAAAGUGCACAAAAAAAGAAGUUUGAGGUUUUAAAACUAUAAAGAAGAAAUAAAAAAAGGUGUGAACAAAAAGAUUUAAGAAAAAAAAAUGAAAAUACAAAAUAUAUAAAAUAAAAUUUGAGAAAAAGAAGAAAAAAAUAAAAAAUGAAGAGGCAAAAAUAUGAAAUAAAAGAAAAAGAAAAAAUUUAUAGAAAAUUUUAAAACAAAGAAAAAAGUGAACAAAAAAGAAUGAUGGCAUAUAAAAAAAAAGUAAAAAAAAGAAGAAAAAUUUGGAAGGAGAAAAAGUUAAUGAAAAAAAUAUAAAAAUGCAAUAGAAAAUAACCAAGAAUGAUAAAAGAAAAAAAGAUAAAAAAAUUAAAAAUUCCAAAACUUUAUAAAAAUUUAUGAAAUUAUGAAUAAAGAAAGAAAAUAAAAUAAGAAAAAAAAUUAAAGCAAAAGAAAAAAGAUAGAUAAAGCACGAAAAAAGAAAAAAAAAACAAAAAAUUAUAAAAAGUAAGAAAAUGAAAAAGGACAAAAAUUGAAUAAAAAUUUCAAAAAUGAAAUGGAAUGACAAAAUGAAAAAAAAAUUAGUUUAAAAAAUACAAAAAAUUAAAAAACAUAUAAGACCAAACAAUCUAAAAAGUCUGACAAAAAAUUAAAAAAGAGAAAAGUUAAUGCAAAAUAAAAAAAAAAAGUAUGAGAAUUUAAAAACGCAAAUAAGAAAUGAAAGGAAAUUUGUGGAAAAAAAAGAAAAGACAAAAGAUUUGGAAUAAAAAGAGAAAAUAAAAUUUAAAACAGGAAAAUUAAAAGUAAAACAUGAAAACAUAUAAAAAAAAAGCAAAAAGAAGGAAAAUUGCAAAGGGAAAAAGUUAUUAAGAAAUUACAAAGUAGAAAAAAAUAAAUUAAGAGAAAAAAUUAAAUAAAAUACCAAAAAAGGAAAAAAUAAAAAAUUAGCGAAUCAAAAAAAUAUAAAAAGACAAAAUGAAUAAUCAAAUAUAAAAUGGAAAAAACUUUUAGUUUAUAAUUUACAAAGAAAAAGAAAAAAAAAAUAACAAAUAGAGGAAAAAGAUAUAAAAUAUGAAAGAUGAAAAAUAAAAUAAAAGAAAGUGCACAAAAAAAUAAGUUUGAGGUUUUAAAGUUAUAAAGAAGAAAAAAAAAGGUGUGAACAAAAAGAUUUAAGAAAAAAAUAAAAAAUGAAAAUACAAAAUAUAUAAAAUAAAAAUUGAAGAAAAAGAAGAGGCAAAAAUAUGAAAUAAAACAAAAAGAAAAAAAUUUAUAGAAAAAACUGAACGAAAAAGAAUGAAAGCACAUAAAAAAAAGUAAAAAAAAGAAGAAAAAUUAUAAAAAUGCAAUAGAAAAAUAAAAAAUUCCAAAACUUUAUAAAAAUUUAUGAAAUUAUGAAUAAAGAAAGAAAAUAAAAUAAGAAAAAAAAUUAAAGCAAAAGAAAAAAGAUAGAUAAAGCACGAAAAAAGAAAAAAAACAAAAAUACAACAAAAAAUUAUAAAAAGUAAGAAAAUGAAAAAGGACAAAAAUUGAAUAAAAAUUUCAAAAAUGAAAUGGAAUGACAAAAUGAAAAAAAAAUUAGUUUAAAAAAUACAAAAAAUUAAAAAACAUAUAAGACCAAACAAUCUAAAAAGUCUGACAAAAAAUUAAAAAAGAGAAAAGUUAAUGCAAAAUAAAAAAAAAAGUAUGAGAAUUUAAAAACGCAAAUAAGAAAUGAAAGGAAAUUUGUGGAAAAAAAAAGAAAAGACAAAAGAUUUGGAAUAAAAAAGAGAAAAAUAAAAAUUUUUAAAACAACGAAAAAAUUAAAAAAAGUAAAAAUGAAAACAUAUGGAAAAAAAAAAAGCAAAAAGAAGGAAAAUUGCAAAGGGAAAAAAUUAUUAAAAAUUUACAAAGUAAAAAAAAAUUAGGGAAUCAAAAAAUAUAAAAGGAAAAAAAUAAAAAUAAACAAAGUAAGAAAAUAAAAAAUUAGGGAAUCAAAAAAUAUAAAAAGACAAAAUGAAUAAAAAUUUCAAAUAUAAAAAGAAAGUGCACAAAAAAAGAAGUUUGAGGUUUUAAAAUUACAAAGAAGAAAUAAAAAAAAGUGUGAACAAAAAGAUUUAAGAAAAAAAUAACAAAUGAAAAUAAAAUAUAUAAAAAAAAUAUUUGAGAAAAAAAAAUGAGAAAAAGAAGAAAAAAUAAAAAAUGAAGAGGCAAAAAUAUGAAAUAAAACAAAAAGAAAAAAAAUACAAAAAAAGGACAAAAAUUGAAUAAAAAUUUCAAAAAUGAAAUGGAAUGACAAAAUGAAAAAAAAAUUAGUUUAAAAAAUAAAAAAAAAAUUGAAAAACAUAUAAGUCCUAACAAUAUAAAAAUUCAGACAAAAAAUUAAAAAGAAAAAAGUUAAUGCAAAAAAAAAAAAGUAUGAGAAUUUAAAAAUGCAAAUAAGAAAUGAAAGGAAAUGUGGAAAAAAAAAGAGAAGCAAGAAAAGACAAAAGAUUUGGAAUAAAAAUAGAAAAAUAAAAAUUUUUAAAACAACGAAAAAAUGAAAGCAUAUGAAAAAAAAAGUAAAAAGAAGGAAAUUGUGAAGGAAAAAAGUUAUUAAAAAAUUACAAAGUUGAAAAAAAAAUAAAUUAAGAGAAAAAAUUAAAUAAAAUACCCAGAAAGGAAAAAUAAAAAUAAACAAAGUAAGAAAAUAAAAAAUUAGCGAAGCAAAAAAUAUAAAAAGACAAAUGAAUAAAAAUUUCAAAUAUAAAAUGGAAAAAACUUUUAGUUUAGAAUGUAGAAAGAAACAAAAAAAAAAAAAAAACAAAUAGAGGAAAAAGAUAUAAAAUAUGAAAGAUGAAAAAUAAAAUAAAAGAAAGUGCACAAAAAAAGAAGUUUGAGGUUUUAAAAUUAUAAAGAAGAAAUAAAAAAAAAAGGUGUGAACAAAAAGAUUUAAGAAAAAAUAAAAAAUGAAAAUGCAAAAUAUAUAAAAUAAAAUUGAGAAAAAGAAGAAAAAAAUAAAAAAUGAAGAGGCAAAAAUAUGAAAAAAAAAUAAAAAGAAAAAAAUUUAUAGAAAAUUUUAAAACAAAGAAAAAAGUGAACAAAAAAAAAAUGAAAGCACAUAAAAAAAAAGUAAAAAAAAGAAGAAAAAUUCGGAAGGAGAAAAAGUUAAUGAAAAAUUAUAAAAAUGCAAUAGAAAAUAACCAAGAAUGAUAAAAGAAAAAAAGAUAAAAAAUAAAAAAUUCUAAAACUUUAUAAAAUUUAUGAAAUUAUAAAUAAAGAAAGAAAUAAAGAAAAAUAAAAAAGAUAAUAAACACAAAAAAACAAAAAUACUACAAAAAAUAUAAAAAGUAAGAAAAUGAAAAAGGACAAAAUGAAUAAAAAUUUCAAAAUGAAAUGGAAUGACAAAAUGAAAAAAUUAGUUUAAAAAAUACAAAAAAUUGAAAAACAUAUAAGUUCUAACAAUAUAAAAAGUUUGAGAAUUUAAAAACACAAAUAAGAAAUGAAAGGAAAUUUAUGGAAAAAAAAAAAGAAUUGGAAUAAAAAAUAGAAAAAUAAAAUUUUUAAAAACGACGAAAAUUAAAAUAGAAAAAAAAUUAAAGCAAAAGAAAAAAGAUAAAUAAAGCAUAAAAAAAAAAAAACAAAAUACAAAAAAAUUAUAAAGGUAAGAAAAUGAAAGAGGACAAAAAAUGAAUAAAAUUUCAAAAAUGAAAUGGAAUGACAAAAUGAAAAUAAAAUUAGUUUAAAAAAUAAAAAAAAAUUGAAAAACAUAUAAGACCUAACAAUAUAAAAAGUCAGACAAAAAAUUAAAAAAGAGAAAAGUUAAUGCAAAAUAAAAAAAAAGUAUGAGAAUUUAAAAGCGCAAAUAAGAAAUGAAAGGAAAUUUGAGGAAAAAAAGAGACAAAAGAUUUGGAAUAAAAAAUAGAAAAAUAGAAAUUUUUAAAACAACAAAAAAAUUAAAACAAGUAAAAAUGAAAGCUUAUGAAAAAAAAAAGCAAAAAGAAGGCAAAUUAUGAAGGGAAAAAGUUAUUAAAAAAUUACAAAGUAGAAAAAAAAGAAAAUAAAAAAUAAAUUAAGAGAAAAAAUUAAAUAAAAUACCAAAAAAGGAAAAAAUAAAAAUAAACAAAGUAAGAAAAUAAAAAAUUAGCGAAUCAAAAAAUAUAAAAAGACAAAAUGAAUAAAAAUUUCAAAUAUAAAAUGAAAAAAACUAUUGGUUCAGAAUGUACAAAGAAAAAUAAAAAAAAUAUAACAAACAGAGGAAAAAGAUAUAAAAUAUGAAAGAUGAAAAAUAAAAUAAAAGAAAGUGCACAAAAAAAGAAGUUUGAGGUUUUAAAACUAUAAAGAAGAAAUAAAAAAAGGUGUGAACAAAAAGAUUUAAGAAAAAAAAAUGAAAAUACAAAAUAUAUAAAAUAAAAUUUGAGAAAAAGAAGAAAAAAAUAAAAAAUGAAGAGGCAAAAAUAUGAAAUAAAAGAAAAAGAAAAAAAUUUAUAGAAAAUUUUAAAACAAAGAAAAAAGUGAACAAAAAAGAAUGAAAGCACAUAAAAAAAAGUAAAAAAAAAGAAGAAAAAUUUGGAAGGAGAAAAAGUUAAUGAAAAAAUAUAAAAAUGCAAUAGAAAAUAACCAAGAAUGAUAAAAGAAAAAAAGAUAAAAAAAUUAAAAAUUCCAAAACUUUAUAAAAAUUUAUGAAAUUAUGAAUAAAGAAAGAAAAUAAAAUAAGAAAAAAAUUAAAAGCAAAAGAAAAAAAUAGAUAAAGCAAAAGAAAAAAGAAAAAAAAAAAAAAACAAAAAAUAUAAAAAGUAAGAAAAUGAAAAAGGACAAAAAUUGAAUAAAAAUUUCAAAAAUGAAAUGGAAUGACAAAAUGAAAAAAAAAUUAUUUUAAAAAUACAAAAAAUUGAAAAUCAUAUAAGACCUAACAAUAUAAAAAGUCAGACAAAAAAUUAAAAAAGAGAAAAGUUAAUGCAAAAUAAAAAAAAAAGUAUGAGAAUUUAAAAACGCAAAUAAGAAAUGAAAGGAAAUUUGUGGAAAAAAAAGAAAAGACAAAAGAUUUGGAAUAAAAAACAGAAAAAUAAAAAUUUUUAAAACAGCGAAAAAAAAACAUAUAAAAAAAAGCAAAAAGAAGGAAAAUUGUGAAGGGAAAAAGUUAUUAAGAAAUUACAAAGUAGAAAAAAAUAAAUUAAGAAAAAAAUUAAAUAAAAUACCAAAAAGGAAAAAAUAAAAAAUUAGCGAAUCAAAAAAAUAUAAAAAGACAAAAUGAAUAAUCAAAUAUAAAAUGGAAAAAACUUUUAGUUUAUAAUUUACAAAGAAAAAGAAAAAAAAAUAACAAAUAGAGGAAAAAGAUAUAAAAUAUGAAAGAUGAAAAAUAAAAUAAAAGAAAGUGCACAAAAAAAUAAGUUUGAGGUUUUAAAGUUAUAAAGAAGAAAAAAAAAAGGUGUGAACAAAAAGAUUUAAGAAAAAAAUAAAAAAUGAAAAUACAAAAUAUAUAAAAUAAAAUUUGAGAAAAAGAAGAAAAAAAUAAAGAAUGAAGAGGCAAAAAUAUGAAAUAAAACAAAAAGAAAAAAAUAGAAAAUUUUAAAACAAAGAAAAAACUGAACGAAAAAGAAUGAAAGCACAUAAAAAAAAGUAAAAAAAGAAGAAAAAUUAUAAAAAUGCAACAGAAAAUAACCAAGAAUGAUAAAAGAAAAAAAGAUAGAAAAAUAAAAAAUUCCAAAACUUUAUAAAAAUUUAUGAAAUUAUGAAUAAAGAAAGAAAAUAAAAUAAGAAAAAAAUUAAAGCAAAAGAAAAAAGAUAGAUAAAGCACGAAAAAAGAAAAAAAAACAAAAAUACAACAAAAAAUUAUAAAAAGUAAGAAAAUGAAAAAGGACAAAAAUUGAAUAAAAAUUUCAAAAAUGAAAUGGAAUGACAAAAUGAAAAAAAAAAUUAGUUUAAAAAAUACAAAAAAUUAAAAAACAUAUAAGACCAAACAAUCUAAAAAGUCUGAUAAAAAAUUAAAAAAGAGAAAAGUUAAUGCAAAAUAAAAAAAAAAAGUAUGAGAAUUUAAAAACGCAAAUAAGAAGUGAAAGGAAAUUUGUGGAAAAAAAAAGAAAAGACAAAAGAUUUGGAAUAAAAAAGAGAAAAAUAAAAAUUUUUAAAACAACGAAAAAAUUAAAAAAAGUAAAAAUGAAAACAUAUGGAAAAAAAAAAAGCAAAAAGAAGGAAAAUUGCAAAGGGAAAAAGUUAUUAAAAAUUUACAAAGUAAAAAAAAAUUAGGGAAUCAAAAAAUAUAAAAGGAAAAAAAUAAAAAUAAACAAAGUAAGAAAAUAAAAAAUUAGGGAAUCAAAAAAUAUAAAAAGACAAAAUGAAUAAAAAUUUCAAAUAUAAAAAGAAAGUGCACAAAAAAAGAAGUUUGAGGUUUUAAAAUUACAAAGAAGAAAUAAAAAAAGGUGUGAACAAAAAGAUUUAAGAAAAAAAUAACAAAUGAAAAUAUAAAAUAUAUAAAAAAAUAUUUGAGAAAAAAAAUGAGAAAAAGAAGAAAAAAAUAAAAAAUGAAGAGGCAAAAAUAUGAAAUAAAACAAAAAGAAAAAAAAUACAAAAAAAGGACAAAAAUUGAAUAAAAAUUUCAAAAAUGAAAUGGAAUGACAAAAUGAAAAAAAAUUAGUUUAAAAAAUAAAAAAAAAUUGAAAAACAUAUAAGUCCUAACAAUAUAAAAAUUCAGACAAAAAAUUAAAAAAGAAAAAAGUUAAUGCAAAAUAAAAAAAAGUAUGAGAAUUUAAAAAUGCAAAUAAGAAAUGAAAGGAAAUUUGUGGAAAAAAAAAGAGAAGCAAAAGACAAAAGAUUUGGAAUAAAAAAUAGAAAAAUAAAAAUUUUAAAACAACGAAAAAAUGAAAGCAUAUGAAAAAAAAGUAAAAAGAAGGAAAUUGUGAAGGGAAAAAGUUAUUAAAAAAUUACAAAGUUGAAAAAAAAUAAAUUAAGAGAAAAAAUUAAAUAAAAUACCCAGAAAGGAAAAAUAAAAAUAAACAAAGUAAGAAAAUAAAAAAUUAGCGAAGCAAAAAAAUAUAAAAAGACAAAUGAAUAAAAAUUUCAAAUAUAAAAUGGAAAAAACUUUUAGUUUAGAAUGUAGAAAGAAAAACAAAAAAAAAAAAACAAAUAGAGGAAAAAGAUAUAAAAUAUGAAAGAUGAAAAAUAAAAUAAAAGAAAGUGCACAAAAAAAGAAGUUUGAGGUUUUAAAAUUAUAAAGAAGAAAUAAAAAAAGGUGUGAACAAAAAGAUUUAAGAAAAAAAUAAAAAAUGAAAAUGCAAAAUAUAUAAAAUAAAAUUUGAGAAAAAGAAGAAAAAAAUAAAAAAUGAAGAGGCAAAAAUAUGAAAAAAAAAAAAAAAGAAAAAAAUUUAUAGAAAAUUUUAAAACAAAGAAAAAAGUGAACAAAAAAAAAUGAAAGCACAUAAAAAAAAAAGUAAAAAAAAGAAGAAAAAUUUGAAAGGAGAAAAAGUUAAUGAAAAAUUAUAAAAAUGCAAUAGAAAAUAACCAAGAAUGAUAAAAGAAAAAAAGAUAGAAAAAUAAAAAAUUCUAAAACUUUAUAAAAAUUUAUGAAAUUAUAAAUAAAGAAAGAAAAUAAAAUAAGAAAAAAAAUUAAAGCAAAAGAAAAAAGAUAGAUAAAGCACGAAAAAAGAAAAAAAAACAAAAAUACAACAAAAAAUUAUAAAAAGUAAGAAAAUGAAAAAGGACAAAAAUUGAAUAAAAAUUUCAAAAAUGAAAUGGAAUGACAAAAUGAAAAAAAUUAGUUUAAAAAAUACAAAAAAUUGAAAAACAUAUAAGUUCUAACAAUAUAAAAAGUUUGAGAAUUUAAAAACACAAAUAAGAAAUGAAAGGAAAUUUAUGGAAAAAAAAAAAGAAUUGGAAUAAAAAAUAGAAAAAUAAAAUUUUUAAAACGACGAAAAAUUAAAAUAAGAAAAAAAAUUAAAGCAAAAGAAAAAAAGAUAAAUAAAGCAUGAAAAAAAAAAAAACAAAAAUACAAAAAAAAAUUAUAAAAGGUAAGAAAAUGAAAGAGGACAAAAAAUGAAUAAAAAUUUCAAAAAUGAAAUGGAAUGACAAAAUGAAAAUAAAAUUAGUUUAAAAAAUAAAAAAAAAAUUGAAAAACAUAUAAGACCUAACAAUAUAAAAAGUCAGACAAAAAAUAAAAAAAGAGAAAAGUUAAUGCAAAAUAAAAAAAAAAGUAUGAGAAUUUAAAAGCGCAAAUAAGAAAUGAAAGGAAAUUUGAGGAAAAAAAGAGACAAAAGAUUUGGAAU